ACAUCGCCAUCAAUGACCGGUCCGAAGGCUAUGUGGUAUCUUGCUGGUUGAAUGUCCUGGUCGACAAGUUCUCUAUAAGGCUUCUUCUGUAGACAUUCUACCAGUUCUACAGUGUCUGACAUGUUGCAACCAACUUUUGUAGCCAACAUCCUGGCGUAUUUUGCAGGCUGAAAACUAACUGCCCAGCUGGAGAGAGCUGUUCCACUUUGAGCUAUUGCUCUUUGAAAAAGUCCUGUGGGGAGAAAUAUUUGAAAACUACUGAAGUGACCUUGAAACAGCUACAGACUUGAAAGAUUCAAAGGAGUUCUUUGAAACAACAGAAAACUUCAACAGGAGAGAUACCUGAAUCUUAAUAGUACUUAAAUACAAGGGAUCUGACUUCUGUUGUACCUACAGUGUAACGGCAUGAUCUAAAGAAGCUGUCACUUCUAUUGACCUCAGUGGGAUCUGCACCAUGAUGUUGGGAGAAACUAAACACGCCUUUCACGACUGUCUGAAUAAAGACGACCUCAUCUACCGUGAGCAUGACUGACUGGUUUUCCAAAAAGGACACCCUUAGGUAGGAAAGAAAAGAGACAAAAACGAUGCACCAAGAAAAUGCUGUUCAAAAGUCUGCUAUGAAGUGUUUCUACAAGGCUCCAUAGGAAAAAGAAGAAAGUGACCCAAAAUUUAAACAUGCACAGAAGAGCUGAGGGAGAAGGAGGCUUGUACAGCCUAUAAAAAGUUUUCUUAAUAUUGAGCUGAACUCAACAGUUCAAAGGAACAAAGAGAAUAUACAGAA
Long non-coding RNA from Pipra filicauda (Wire-tailed manakin), 781 nucleotides. RefSeq lists it as uncharacterized. The transcript is spliced from 3 exons. The record is from RefSeq and is a predicted model, not a curated record. Lineage: Eukaryota; Metazoa; Chordata; Aves; Passeriformes; Pipridae.